RNAcentral lists this transfer RNA (84 nucleotides) under Melanomma pulvis-pyrius CBS 109.77. RNAcentral describes it as "tRNA-Val". The record is from RNAcentral. Lineage: Eukaryota; Fungi; Ascomycota; Dothideomycetes; Pleosporales; Melanommataceae.
GGUUCGGUGGUGUAGUUGGUUAUCACGUCAGUCUAACAUUCGUUAGCACACUGAAGGUCCCGAGUUCAAACCUCGGCUGAAUCA